UAUCUCUGUAGAGUCUGCAUAUCAAUAAGCGGAGGAAAAGAAACUAACAAGGAUUCCCCUAGUAACGGCGAGUGAAGCGGGAAGAGCUCAAAUUUGAAAUCUUCAAGGUUUGACCUUGACGAAUUGUAGUUUAAAGAAGUGUUUUCGGUUAGAGGAGUAGUAAAGGUUCUUUGGAAUAGGACAUCAUAGAGGGUGAGAAUCCCGUAUUUGACUAUUCUUUCUAGCUUUGUGAUACACUUUCAAAGAGUCGGAUUGUUUGGGAAUGCAGUCCAAAAUGGGUGGUAAAUUUCAUCUAAAGCUAAAUAUUGGCGAGAGACCGAUAGCGAACAAGUACCGUGAGGGAAAGAUGAAAAGAACUUUGAAAAGAGAGUUAAACAGUACGUGAAAUUGUCAAAAGGGAAGCGUUUGACACCAGUGUUGUUUUUCCGAAAAUCAAUUAAAAUUGAUUCAUGCCAGGUUGUAUUGACCUUAUCAGCUUGCAAUUUGGUUUUGGGUCUCUUUUUGAUGCACUUUUCGGUUAACAAGUCAACAUCAAUUUCCUUUGCUGUAAAAAGGUAAGAGGAAGGUGGCUUCAAUUUCGGUUGAAGUGUUUAUAGCCUUUUAUCUCUGCAGUCGGGGAGAUUGAGGUCUGCAGCGUAGAUCCUUCGGGGCUAGAUACAUUUAUGCUAAGUUAUAGCUUUUCAUAGACAACUUGUUGACUAUGUUUAGUCAUGUAGCUUACUCGUAAGUGCUAUUUUACCUGCGCUUAGGAUGUUGAAGACUCUACAGAGAUA
Molecule: ribosomal RNA, 773 nt
Filed under: uncultured Neocallimastigales
Lineage: Eukaryota; Fungi; Neocallimastigomycota; Neocallimastigomycetes; Neocallimastigales
Description: partial large subunit ribosomal RNA
Rfam family: Eukaryotic large subunit ribosomal RNA
Source: RNAcentral